ACGACUCUCGGCAACGGAUAUCUCGGCUCUCGCAUCGAUGAAGAACGUAGCGAAAUGCGAUACCUGGUGUGAAUUGCAGAAUCCCGCGAACCAUCGAGUCUUUGAACGCGAGUUGCGCCCGAGGCCACUCGGCCGAGGGCACGCCUGCCUAGGCGUCACGC
This 161-nucleotide ribosomal RNA is filed under the name Hordeum pusillum. RNAcentral's name for it is "5.8S ribosomal RNA". It matches the Rfam family "5.8S ribosomal RNA". From Rfam's summary of the family: 5.8S ribosomal RNA (5.8S rRNA) is a component of the large subunit of the eukaryotic ribosome. The record is from RNAcentral. Lineage: Eukaryota; Viridiplantae; Streptophyta; Magnoliopsida; Poales; Poaceae.